UGCCCUGUGACUUAAGAGUUUAACGGCCGCGGUAUCUUGACCGUGCGAAGGUAGCGCAAUCACUUGUCCUUUAAAUGAGGACCCGUAUGAAUGGCAUAACGAGGGCUCAACUGUCUCCCCCCUCCAGUCAAUGAAAUUGAUUUUCCCGUGCAGAAGCGGGAAUGCUCCCAUAAGACGAGAAGACCCUAUGGAGCUUUAGACAUCAAGCAGCCCACAAAAAACAACCCAUACUAAUGGCUAUAGAACAACGUGAAACUCUGCUGAACUGUCUUCGGUUGGGGCGACCGUGGGAUACAAAAAACCUCCCAUGAGGACCGGGAAAACCUUCCCAAAACCAAGGGCUACCGCCCUAAGCAACAGAAACUCUGACCUUUAUGAUCCGGCCUCCCGGCCGAUCAACGGACCGAGUUACCCUAGGGAUAACAGCGCAAUCCCCUCCUAGAGCCCCCAUCGACGAGAGGGUUUACGACCUCGAUGUUGGAUCAGGACAUCCUAAUGGUGCAGCCGCUAUUAAGGGUUCGUUUGUUCAACGAUUAAAGUCCUACGUGAUCUGAGUUCAGACCGGACC
RNAcentral lists this ribosomal RNA (568 nucleotides) under Saurida undosquamis (brushtooth lizardfish). RNAcentral's name for it is "partial 16S ribosomal RNA". It matches the Rfam family "Bacterial large subunit ribosomal RNA", at positions 1860 to 2622 of the family's 2925-position model. Lineage: Eukaryota; Metazoa; Chordata; Actinopteri; Aulopiformes; Synodontidae. The record is from RNAcentral.